RNAcentral lists this ribosomal RNA (329 nucleotides) under uncultured eukaryote. Its description in RNAcentral is "partial 18S ribosomal RNA". It matches the Rfam family "Eukaryotic small subunit ribosomal RNA", at positions 1470 to 1796 of the family's 1831-position model. The record is from RNAcentral.
CCCUUAGAUGUUCUGGGCCGCACGCGCGCUACAAUGAUGAAUUCAACGAGUUUAUAACCUUGGUUGAAAAGCCUGGGUAAUCUUUUGAACUUUCGUCGUGAUGGGGCUAGACCCUUGCAAUUAUUGGUCUCCAACGAGGAAUUCCUAGUAAACGCAAGUCAUCAGCUUGCAUUGAUUACGUCCCUGCCCUUUGUACACACCGCCCGUCGCACCUACCGAUUGAAUGGUCCGGUGAAAUCUUCGGAUUGAGACUUUGAUCUCUUCACGGAAAACGCUGUUUUAAGAAGUUGAUUAAACCUUACCAUUUAGAGGAAGGUGAAGUCGUAACA